RNAcentral lists this non-coding RNA (247 nucleotides) under Exiguobacterium oxidotolerans. Its description in RNAcentral is "T-box". It matches the Rfam family "T-box leader". From Rfam's summary of the family: Uncharged tRNA acts as the effector for transcription antitermination of genes in the T-box leader family. RNAcentral also lists the same sequence under 1 other name. The record is from RNAcentral. Lineage: Bacteria; Bacillati; Bacillota; Bacilli; Caryophanales.
AAAAAAUCGAUGAAUGAGUUAAGUAGUUAAACACAUCACUGUUUCAGAGAGCCGGAGAAGGGUGGGACUUCGGCACAGGGAGGUUUAAUGAAUGGUCUCAUGAGAGCAUGGCUGAAUUUACAGUAGGUCAUGACGGAAGCCCCCGUUAUCGUAGGCUACGGUGUCCCUGAAGUGAGGAAGCACCGGAAAAGUGGGAACGCAACAAACGUUCCAAUCGAGGUGGCACCGCGAGUUAAUCGUCCUCCAU